This 34317-nucleotide long non-coding RNA is filed under the name Hordeum vulgare. RNAcentral's name for it is "long non-coding RNA (HVUL_LNC010989)". Lineage: Eukaryota; Viridiplantae; Streptophyta; Magnoliopsida; Poales; Poaceae. The record is from RNAcentral.
CAAGGUGAACUUCGGGGCGGUGACCAAGGUGUGGGGCGCCUGGGCCGAGUCCGCCGCCGCCGCCGCGUCCGGGGUCAAGGUGCGCGUCUCGGUGCUCGCCAAGUCUGAGUUGGUGGCGGCGGCGGCCGAGCCCAAGAGCCCGGUCGCCCUGGCAGCCUUCGACGGCUUCUUCUCUGCUUAACGAGUAGUGUGUGAAUUGAUUCGGAGGAGUUUACCUCUCCCCCAGUGUCAUGUACUGUAACUCCGAUGUGUACAUAACCGUGUGGUUUGCUGAUUUGCAACAAGGAAGAAGUGUGCUUUUUGUACCGCUCUUGGUACCUUCUUGGAGGGCAGAUAUGCCUAUGCGUUUUGCCAUUUUAUCUUUGAAAUUUCGUGUCAAGCUGCCAACAGACUAGUCUGGUUGUCUUGGCAUACUCGAGUGGUUUUGCCGACUGCUGAUGCUUGUUUGAAGCCCCAACCUUCAUCCAAUCCCUUCAAAUCUUUAUUUAUCCCUAAUACAUUAGGUAGAAGUAGUGUAUUGAGUAUUGAGAAAAAUGCAUUAUAAUUUGAGGAGAAAUAUGGGGAUGAAACAUGUCAAAUACACUAGAAUAAAAUGGUGUUAUGGGAUGUGUGGUGAUCGAGUAGUUUGACCAGAAUAAUCCCCAUAAAUUUCCUAAAAUACACUAGUACCAACGAGUAGUUUGACCAGAAUAAUCCCCAUAAAUUUCCUAAAAUACACUAGUACCAAACAAGUCCUUGAUGGUGGCACCCCGACACAGCAAUAGCUCAUCAUAUGAAACCAAAAUGGGGUUAUUAUGGCCCGGUUUAAAGGCGUUAAACAGGGAUGCAAACAUGUUCGCCAAAUCAGCGGCGAUGAGGACCGAAGACCGCCGCGUCAAGUGGCAGGGCUGAAACCGCAUCACCUCCAUACAGGUUUACUAGAUGUGAGAAAAUUCGUUUGGUAGCGUACACGGAGGUCUAGUUUGCACUCACACGAAUCAUAAAGCAGCUCAUAGCAUGGCUAGUUAGAGCAUCUUCAACAAACGAGGCUGGGCGCGCGUAACGACCGUUUUUGCGACGCUGCAAAUUUUUAACACGUCAACAUGUCGCUUCAACAGACGCUAUAACAAAUCAAGCGCGCGUUCAGCUGAUGCACAUAUAAGAUGAUCAAACAUUCAAAAUAUGCAAAGUUUGCACAAACAAAAUGAGCACAAGCAAGUUCAUGACAAACAAGUUCACACAAAUAAAUUAAACAUGAACAAUCAUUCUUCAUCCUCUUCUUUCCGCAAAAAAGAAAAAUUCUUUAUCCUCUUCCUCAUCGUUGGCCUCUUUCGAUUUGUCCGUUUCUUCUUCUGAUUUUUCAUCCUCUUGUUUGUUCUCUUUCUCAUUGAAAAGUCGAAUGGUGUUUGAACUAUCAAUAAAGUAGCAGUUCAUAGCAUGGCUAGUUAGAGCAUCUUCAACAAACGAGGCUAGGCACGCGUAACGACCGUUUUUGUGCUUCAUCAGACGCUGCAAAUUUUUAACACGUCAACAGACGCUAUAACAAAUCAAGCGCGCGUUCAGCUGACGCACAUAUAAGAUGAUCAAACAUUCAAAAUAUGCAAAGUUUGCACAAACAAAAUAAGCACAAGCAAGUUCAUGACAAACAAGUUCACACAAAUAAAUUAAACAUGAACAAUCAUUCUUCAUCCUCUUCUUUCUGCAAAAAAAAUAAUUCUUUAUCCUCUUCCUCAUCGUUGGCCUCUUUCGAUUUGUCCGUUUCUUCUUCUGAUUUUUCAAUCUCUUGUUUGUUCUCCUUUUCAUUGAAAAGUCGAACGGUGUUUGAACUAUCAAUAAAGGUAUCAUACAAGGCAUGUGAGGCACACCGAAAACUCCCAUCCAUCCAUGCCAUCGAAAGCAUGUGAGAACAACUAUGCCAUCGAAAGCAUGUGAGAACAACUAAAAUCAGACUACAUAUGCGCACAUUUGCCAACAACAACAAAAUAAAAACAAAAAUUGUACCUUGUGAGCAUUUCAUCAAGGAUUAUGUGUGCAUUGGCCGCCGACGCAACAAAUUGCGAGGUUUUCACCGCUUCGCGCGGCGGAGGUACGGCCGGCUUCACUCGUGUCUUCUUCUUUAUUACCGCUUUCCNNNNNNNNNNNNNNNNNNNNNNNNNNNNNNNNNNNNNNNNNNNNNNNNNNNNNNNNNNNNNNNNNNNNNNNNNNNNNNNNNNNNNNNNNNNNNNNNNNNNUUGAGGGCCAAGGCAGGAGAGCCACACGGGGCCCACAAGCCCUGUAGCCGCCACCACGGGGGGGGGGGGCUACCAGUCUUGUGGACCCCCUGGAGCUCCCCUGCCCUAGCUCUUUCGCCUAUAAAUUCCCUAAAAUCCCAGAAAAAAAUCAGGGCAUCCACGAAAACACUUUUCCGCCGCCGCAAGCUUCCGUUUCCGCGAUAUCUCAUCUGGAGACCCUUCCCGGUGCCCUGCCGAAGGGGACUUUGGAGUUGGAGGGCUUCUACAUCAACAUCAUCACCUCUCCAAUGACUCGUGAGUAGUCCACUUCAGACCUACACGUCCGUAGCUAGUAGCUAGAUGGAUUCUUCUCUCUCUUGGAUCUUCAAUACAAAGUUCUCCAUGAUCUUCAUGGAGAUCUAUCCUAUGUAAUCCUCUUUGGUGGUGUGUUUGUCGAGAUCCGAUGAAUUGUGGAUUUGUGAUCAGAUUAUCUAUGAAUUGUAUUUGAGUCUUUGCUGAUUUCUUAUAUGAUGAUUUGAUAUCCUUGUAAGUCUCUCCGAGUCUUGGUUUUGUUUGGCCAACUAGAUCUAUGAUUCUUGCAAUGGGAGAAGUGCUUGGUUUUGGGUUCAUACCGUGUGGUGACCUUUCCCAGUGACAGAAGGGGCAGCAAGGCACACAUCAUGUUGUUGCCAUCAAGGGUAAUAAGAUGGGCUUUUAUCAUAGAUAUGAGAUUGUCCAUCUACAUCAUGUCAUCUUGCUUAAGGCGUUACUCUGUUCUUAUGAACCUAAAACACUAGAUGCAUGCUGGAUAGCGGUCGACGUGUGGAGUAAUAGUAGUAGAUGCAGAAAGUAUCGGUCUACUUGCUUUGGACGUGAUGCCUAUAGAUAUAAUCAUUGCCAUAGAUAACAUCACGACUUUGCGCGGUUCUAUCAAUUGCUCGACAGUAAUCCGUUCACCCACGGUCUAAUUGCUUUCAUGAGAGAAGCCACUAGUGAACACCACGGCCCCGGGUCUAUCCAUAACUAUCGUCUCCACUUCCACUUUUACUUUGCUUUUUUACCUUUUUGCUUUCAGUUCUCACUUUGCAAACAAUCUAUAAGGGAUUGACAACCCCUUCAUAGCGUUGGGUGCAAGCUCUUUGUGUUUGUGCAGGUACUUGUGACUCGACGCGAUCCUCCCACUGGAUCGAUACCUUGGUUCUCAAACUGAGGGAAAUACUUACCGCCGCUGUGCUACAUCACCCUUUCCUCUUCAAGGGAACACCAACACAAGGCUCCAAGGCCGCGGGGAAAUCCUUUGCAUAUUUGCCAAGGAAGUCCCUAUAGGCGUAGCCAGUAGCAGCAGGAUUCCUGGCGCCGUUGUCAGGGAAGGUCUGUUGUCACAGUAGCAGAAGGAUUUCUAGAGCCGUUGCCGGGGAGGAGGAUCGCUUGCCGAGGAGUAUCAAGACAAGAAUAAUCUCCCGUCAACACGCCUAUUUCUAGCAUGGGGAAGGGAGAUCAAGUCAAGAUCUAUCAAAGUAGGUGUCACAAACUCAUCUCUUGCAUUUACUUUUUUUGCCAGUUGCCUCUCGUUUUCCUCUCCCCCACUUCACAUUUGCCGUUUUCAUUUGCCUUUCUCCUUUGCCGUUUUAUUUUUCCUUUUCUCCUUUGCCGUUUUCAUUUGCCUUUCUCCUUUGCCGUUUUCUUUUUUCCUUUUGCCGUUCUCUUUUGCCCGUUUCACUCACUUUCUUCCUGCUCGUUUGUGUGUGGGAUAGUCCAUCAAUGGCUAGACCCACCACUCCAAACGAUACCCCUGAGAACGAAGUUCUCAGUUUCAAGCAGAAUGAGGAAGAAAAUUUAAAGGACACUUGGUACAGGAUUUGCAAUGCUCAAAGUAGAUCUACUCGUAAGCAGUCCACUACCGUUCUUCUUCGCAGUUCUUAUGUUGGAAUCUCUCCUUGGAAUAGGUAUAUUCUUGAUACCAUCGUAGGCGGGAAUUUUUUGGGGAUCCAUACCGUUGACUCCUAUGGAGCUAUCAUGAAUUUGGUAGGCUCACCCCCGCUCAUGGUUAAUGGAACUACCUUGACCUUGGAACACGUGAUGCAAAGGCUUGACGCUAUUGAAAACAAAAUUGCCACAAUUGAAUUUAUUGAGGGUUUGGAUGGAAAGAUCCACAAUCAAAUUACUCAGUACGGAUCCAAAGUGGGAAUGGUUUUGAAAAAUUUAAGGGAGAAGGAACCUAUAGUUAAUGAUUCCUCUAGAAUUGGCAAACUAGAAGAUGUCAUAACCAACUUGGGUUGUGCUUUUGCCGCUGUGCAAAAUACUCCAAAUCUCACUCUCAAAAAGACCGUCAAGUCUGUUUUUGUUCCUAAAGCUAGUGGUGAGUCAUCCAAUAAAUAUGAAGACCUUAAGAUGAUAAAUGAUCACGCUACUUAUGGUUUGAGCACCAAAGAUGACUAUACGUGAUUCCAUCACCUUUUGCCUAGCUAAGGGCGUUAAACAAUAGCGCAUGUUGGGAGGCAACCCAACGAAUCUAUCAUUUUUCUUUCUAUUUUGUGUUUUCCACACUUUCAUAAUUCUGUUAUGAUUGUGUUUUUUGUGUUUCUUUUUGCGUUUGUGCCAAGUGAAACCGUUAUGAUUAAUCUUGGGGAUGAUCGUUUGGUCAUGCUGGAAAAGACAGAAACUUUCUGUUAACGAAAAGAAUUUUCAUUUUUUUUAUGUAAGAGAUUUUGAGUUGAUUCUUUUUUGCUUCUGAUUGCUACGCACAUUCUUCAGACUGUUGUAAUUUUUCAGAAUUUUGGAAGUACCAGAAGUAUACGAAGUAUACAGAUUGCUACAGACUGGUCUGCUGUUAACAGAUUCUGUUUUUGUUGAGUUGGUUGCUUAUUUUGAUGAAACUAUGGAUAGUACCGGGGGGUAUUAGCCAUGGAAGAUUGAAAAUACAGUAACCCAACAUCAACAUAAGUAGAAUUUAUUAAGUUUUCUACAGUACCUAAGGAAGUGGUGGUUUGCUUUCUUAUACUAAUGAUAUCACGAGUUUCUGUUUAAAUUUCGUGUUGUGAAGUUUUCAAGUUUUGGGUGAAGUUCUUAUGGACAAAGAGAUAAAGAGUGGCAAGAUCUCAAGCUUGGGGAUGCCCAAGGCACCCCAAGUUGAUUCAAGGAUGCCGUAAAAGCCUAAGCUUGGGGAUGCCCCGGGAAGGCAUCCCCUNNNNNNNNNNNNNNNNNNNNNNNNNNNNNNNNNNNNNNNNNNNNNNNNNNNNNNNNNNNNNNNNNNNNNNNNNNNNNNNNNNNNNNNNNNNNNNNNNNNNUUGAGGGCCAAGGCAGGAGAGCCACAGGGGGCCCACAAGCCCUGUAGCCGCCACCAGGGGGGCCGGCGGCUACCAGGCUUGUGCCCGCCUGGAGCUCCCCUGCCCUAGCUCUUUCGCCUAUAAAUUCCCUAAAAUCCCAGAAAAUAUUAGGGCAUCCACGAAAACACUUUUCCGCCGCCGCAAGCUUCCGUUUCCGCGAGAUCUCAUCUGGAGACCCUUCUCGGUGCCCUGCCGGAGGGGACUUUGGAGUUGGAGGGCUUCUACAUCAACAUCAUCGCCUCUCCAAUGACUCGUGAGUAGUCCACUUCAGACCUACGGGUUCGUAGUUAGUAGCUAGAUGGCUUCUUCUCUCUCUUGGAUCUUCAAUACAAAGUUCCCCAUGAUCUUCAUGGAGAUCUAUCCGAUGUAAUCCUCUUUGGCGGUGUGUUUGUCGAGAUCCGAUGAAUUGUGGAUUUGUGAUCAGAUUAUCUAUGAAUUAUAUUUGAGUCUUUGCUGAUUUCUUAUAUGCAAGAUUUGAUAUCCUUGUAAGUCUCUCCGAGUCUUGGGUUUUGUUUGGCCAACUAGAUCUAUGAUUCUUGCAAUGGGAGAAGUGCUUGGUUUUCGGUUCAUACCGUGUGGUGACCUUUCCCAGUGACACAAGGGGCAGCAAGGCACGCAUCAUGUUGUUGCCAUCAAGGGUAACAAGAUGGGCUUUUAUCAUAGAUAUGAGAUUGUCCAUCUACAUCAUGUCAUCUUGCUUAAGGCGUUACUCUGUGAUACGUCUCCAUCGUAUCAACUUUUCCAAACUCUUUUGCCCUUGUUUUGGACUCUAAUUUGCAUGAUUUGAAUGGAACUAACCCGCACUGACGCUGUUUUCAGCAGAAUUGCCAUGAUGUUGUUUUUGUGCAGAAAUGGAAGUUCUCAGAACGUCCUGAAAAAUUACGUNAUACGUCUCCAUCGUAUCAACUUUUCCAAACUCUUUUGCCCUUGUUUUGGACUCUAAUUUGCAUGAUUUGAAUGGAACUAACCCGCACUGACGCUGUUUUCAGCAGAAUUGCCAUGAUGUUGUUUUUGUGCAGAAAUGGAAGUUCUCAGAACGUCCUGAAAAAUUACGUAGAAUUUUUCUGGAAAAUAUGAAAAAUACGUGCGCAAAGAUCCAUCGGAGGGGAUGGGCCAGUGGGCCACAAGCCCUGUUGCCGCGGCCUCCCCCAUGGCCGCGGCGACCAAGCUUGUGGGGCCCACGUGGGUCUGCCGCCCCCAACUCCAGCUCUAUAAAUUCACUUUCUUUCCGAAAAAAGUCAGAAGAGAAGAUUUCAUCGCGUUUGCGAUACAGAGGCGCCGCCACAUCUUGUUCUUCAUCUGGAGGGCAGAUCUGGAGUCCGUUUUGGGCUCCGGAGAGGGGAAAUCGUCGCCAUCGUCAUCAUCAACCUUCUUCCCUCUCCAAUUCCAUGAAGCUCUUCAUCGUUCGUGAGUAAUCUAUUCGUAGGCUCGCUAGGCGGUGAUGAGUAGGAUGAGAUCUAUCUUGUAAUCGAGUUAGUUUUGACGGGGAUUGAUCCCUAGUAUCCACUAUGUUCUGAGAUUGAUGUUGCUACUACUUUGCCAUGCUUAAUACUUGUCACUAGGGUCCGAGUGCCUGAUUUCAGAUCUCAAAUUAUUAUGUUGUCACCAAUAUAUGUGUGUUUUAGAUCCGAUCUUGCAGGUUGUAGUUACCUACUAUGUGUUAUGACCCGACAACCCCGGAGUGACAAUAACCGGAACCACUCCCGGUGAUGACCGUAAUUUGAGGAGUUCAUGUGUUCACCAAGUGCUAAUGCGUUGUUCCGGUACUUUAUUAAAAGGAGAACCUUAAUAUCCCGUAGUAUCCUUUUGGACCCCGCUGCCACGGGAGGGAUGGACAAUAGAUGUCAUGCAAGUUCUUUUCCCUAAGCACGUAUGACUACACACGGAAUGCAUGCCUACAUCACAUUGACGAACGGGAGCUAGCCACAUAUCUCUCCGUGUUAUAACUGUUGCAUGAUGAAUGUCAUCCAAACGAAUCACCGACCCAUUGCCUACGGGUUUGUCCCACUGCUGCUGUUACUUGUUUUGCUCUGCUGCUAUUACUACUGUUGCUGCUACUGUUACUUGCUUUGCUCUGCUGCUGUCACCACUGUUGCUACUGUUGCUACUUGCUACUGCUAUUACUUGCUACUGUUGCUACUUGCUACUGCUAUCACUACUGCUGUUCCUUGCCACCGCUGAUACUCGUUACACUGCUACUACUUGCUAGAAUACCUUUUUUCUUGCGCCGUUGACGGGAAAGAAUAUUUUCCGUCCACGGUCAACUUCUGGCGCCAUUGAUAUGACCGUUAGGAAUAGUCUGCCAUCAACAAAUCGUUUCUGACACUGUUGUUAUCAUACUACUUUGUUGCUGAUACUUUGCUUGCAGAUACUAAUCUUUCAGGUGCGGUUGAAUCUGACACAUUCAGCUGCUAAUACUUGAGAGUAUCCUUUCACUUCCUGACGGGCGAACCAACAAAUUUGGGUUGAAUACUCUACCCUCGAAAACUGUCGUGAACCCAUGCGCUGGUGGGCCAUUGCAAGACAAUUGCUAAUUGUUGAGCAACUCGGAGCAAUUCUGGCUCUGUUGUCGCGAAGGCAUCAAUUCAGGGACACGUCAACAACAUUCUUCUAGUGUCGUUGCCGGGGACUGCCGUCAGCAGCAUUUUUUUGGCACCGUUGCCGGGGUAGGGAUUGCUAUAUUCUCUGAGUCACUUGGGAUUUAUAUCUGCUGAUCACUAUGAAGAAUCUGAAAGACCCAGAAACCAAAGUCUUGCCCUCAACUACGAGGGGAGGUAAGGAACUGCCAUCUAGCUCUGCACUUGAUUCACCUUCAGUUAUGAGUAAGUUUGCGACAUCACCUCCUUCUAGAAAUCUUGAUAUGUCGCCUGUGCUUGAUGAUGCUUAUGAUGCUACUGCUAGAGAUGCUAUGCCUGAUACUGCUAGAGAUGCUAUGCCUGAUACUGCUUUGCCUGAUGAUGCUAGAGAUGCUAUUUUGCCUGAUGAUGCUAUGCUUGAUACUGCUAGAGAUACUACUUUGCCUGAUGUGCCACUAGGGGUAUUCCUUGAUGCUCAUAUUGCUAGAGUUACUGCCAAUGCUCGUGAUGCUUCUGAAACUGCCGAUACUAUUGAGAUAGAACCUGCUUUUGCUCCUGCUAGAUCUAGCUCUCCUAGAUAUGAAUUGCCUGAUAUACUUGAGGGUUACGUUAUGGAGGGAGAGAUAGCUGAGGAUUUUCUUGCGUGUAAGGAUACCUAUGACACUGAGAAAUUACUUCUCAAGUGGAAGGAAAAAUCUCUGAAAGCUAGGAUGAAAUACGACCCGAAGUUUGCCACUUCACCUAUCUUUAUCACCGAUAAGGAUUAUGAAUUCGCCCUAUAGNNNNNNNNNNNNNNNNNNNNNNNNNNNNNNNNNNNNNNNNNNNNNNNNNNNNNNNNNNNNNNNNNNNNNNNNNNNNNNNNNNNNNNNNNNNNNNNNNNNNAGAGAAACUUACCUGCGCUCACCUGAAGCGGCCCAGCCCAUCAGGGGCACCACUGUCUUCUUCCUCCUCCCAGGAGGAGAAGCAGUUGCGUGCCCGACGCAUCGCCGGGCACCGCCACGUCCCCUAGCCACCUCCUGCUCGCCCCCGUCCUUAUCUCCUCGCCCGUGGAUGCCCCAGACCCCCCCUUGAGCUCAUCCUCCUCUCCUCUCUCUAGGUUCCCCUUCUCUCUCUCUGCUUUCCCUCGUUGCCUCCAUUGCCGAGCUAGAGCUCGAGCUCGCCUCUCUGGUCUCCGGCCUUCCCUCGCCUCUCCGAGAAGCCCAGAAGGACCGCCCCGAUGCCCUGCUCCUCCUCGCCAUUGGAAUCGAGCCCGGACGACCCCUGUCGUCGCCAUCGCCGUUGUCUUCCUCACCUCCGGCCACCGGCCCCCUUCCAUCGAUUCACCCCCUCCGACGCGACCCCGACCUCCCCGUCACCGCAAAUGGAACCGUCGUGAGCUCACCGUCAUUUCCCCUCUCUUUCCACGUUCUCCCGUGCCGUGUAGCCCCGCUCCCCGCCACGGCCGAACCCCGCCGCCGCUUAGGCUCGUCGCCGGCACCUCUCCGGCGACCUAGCCCCCCCUUCGAGCCCCCUGUGCGAUGUGGUCGAGCCUGGGCUACGCCCAAGUGCUCUCAGCGCUUGUUUCCGGCCCCUGUAGUGCCAUCUAGGCAACUCCGGCGAGCCCUCCGCCGCGGGCUUGGUCGCCAACGACCACCCUCCGGUGAGGGCCAACGUGGCCAGUCGUUAGCCAGUACUAACCCCCCCCCCCAGAGCCACUGCCAGAGGGCCCCACGCCUGGUCAAACCCCAAUUAGGGGCUGGUCAGCGCGGGGUUAGCCUCUGGGUCACUGACCAGUGGGCCCCACUGGUCAGGGUUUGACCUGGCCGGCCAGUUGAACUGCUGACGUCAGUACUGAUGCAAUAUUAGUAUUUCUGUUUAUAAAAUAAAUCCAGGAAAUUGCUAAAACUUGUAAAAAUCAUAGAAAUUAAAAUAUAACUCGGAUGAAAAUAAUUUAUAUAUGAAAAAGUAUCAGAAAAAUCCAAGGAAUCUGAUUAUGGCAUUUUCNNNNNNNNNNNNNNNNNNNNNNNNNNNNNNNNNNNNNNNNNNNNNNNNNNNNNNNNNNNNNNNNNNNNNNNNNNNNNNNNNNNNNNNNNNNNNNNNNNNNACUCACUAUAGGGCGGGCAACAUAUUUUAAAAACACCGACAACCGACCGACGGUAGACCGAAUACGGUGCCGCUACGGUCGACCGUUCGGGUACUAGACGGACUCCGAUUGCGAUGAAACUUGACACGCGGCCUACCUAUAUUAAAAUACGACCGCACGUCAAAUAUCAACCCAAUCAGAGAAGGUUUUAUGCACACUUUUAAAACAAGGUUUUGACGAUGCCGCGGGCGCGUGCGUGUGCGGUCGGGCUCAGAACGGACAACGACGAGAACCGGCAACAAACAACGGAUGCAAGUUUUGGAAACUGGCGGCAACGGAGAUGCCGAUGCAAUGCAGAUGAUGCGCAUGAUGCGAUGAUGAUGCAGCAAAAGAAAAUAGACACACGACGAAAACGGAAUAGAAGGGGAAUCUUCUGGAACGUCGGCCUCGGGCUGUCACAACUCUCCUACACUAUAAGAGGAUCUCGCCCCGAGAUCCAAGAAUGAAAGGAAGAGGGGAUAAGAAAGCAAGAGGUAAAACUUAAUCGCUUCUUUGACAAAUGAGUGAAACCAACAUCCUUGAAGGUUGCAAAGAGAUGAGGAAUGAUAAGAGAAACAAGCAAGAAUUCACGGAAAAUUUCGGCAGCACUUCGGUAGGAAAAUGGGACAAAAAAUUCGAUAAGAUAGGAGAAAUAGACAAUAUUCAUUACAAACAACUAAAUAGAACAAGGGAACACUAUGAUCUUGGUAGACCAACAUAAUAGACCCAAAAGAGCAACAUCACAAUGCCUCCGGAACAAUAGAAUAGGAACUAGCUCAUACGGAAGAAGAGAAUGAAGAGAGAAUGACAACUACUCACUCCAAUGAACUUGGCAAGCAUCCUUGCAAGAAGAAUUGGACGGAGUUGUUGGAAAACAACAGCGAAAGAACAAGAAAGUAGUGGGCUUAUGGAAACCUUUUCAAACUAAUGAAGUGACAACCAGCCACUAACAGAACAAGGAUUGAUUGGGAGAAACAAGAUAUGAACAAUUCCUUACACCAAGAGGAUACAUUGAGAACUUGGAUUAAUGACAAGCACCAUGAUAGCAACAAUCCAUAGGAAAAUCUUUAGGUGAAAUCCAAACCAAGAUAGCUCAAUGAAGAAAUCAUGGGUUGAAAACAUCUCAUGAUCAUAGAAUUGGUGGGUUUAAUUAUCUCAUUCUUGAAAGGAAAUCUCUUCGAAACUCCUACACUAACAAGAAUGCUAUAAUACCACCUCAAAGGAUAAAGGAGAACAAUUGCACAUAGAAAUGCAAGAGAAGAAAACUUGAGGUUCUCCAAUAAGAAUCUUGAAGAACACUUUGAGAAUGAAUUGACAUCAUGAGCCGCUCCGGAAGAAGAAUUCAGAUUACUAUGAACAAGAAUAAGAAUUAUGUUAUGCUUAUCCUUCAUCAAAUUAAGUUGAUGAGAAGCAACGGAUUUAGCAUACCACUUAUUCUUCUUGAAAGAACCUUGAAGAGAUAGAGAGAUAAGCACCACUUGAAGCACAAUUGAAUGAAGCACCGGCAAGAAUUCGAGCUCNNNNNNNNNNNNNNNNNNNNNNNNNNNNNNNNNNNNNNNNNNNNNNNNNNNNNNNNNNNNNNNNNNNNNNNNNNNNNNNNNNNNNNNNNNNNNNNNNNNNGAGAUUUGAAAACAAGCGGGGCAACUGGACUACGGGGUCAGAGGGGAUGACUGCUCCACCUAUACUAAGCAGAUUUAAAGUACAGGACUGAAAGUAGCAGUUCAUCAAAAAUAGGUUAUGCAUCAGAUAUAGGAGCUAACUACAACAGUAGCAAAAUACUAAUGCAAGCAGUAGGAAGAAAGACAUAGGCAAUAUAGGAAUGAUCAAGGGGGGGUUUGCUUGCCUUGCUGCUCUGCGGCAAAGGACUGAUCGGCAGGGUCAUAGAUGUACCCGGCAGCAGAGUCAGUCUCGGGGCCUACCGGUAAGAAGAGGGGGAAGAAACAAUAAAUAAUAGCAACGGUGUGUUGGAAUUAUGCCCUAGAGGCAAUAAUAAAUAUAGUUAUUAUUAUAAUUCAUGUAUCAAGAUAACCGUUUAUUAUCCAUGCUAUAAUUGUAUUGAAUGAAGACUUAUAUACAUGUGUGGAUACAUAGACAAAACACUGCCCCUAGCAAGCCUCUAGUUGGCUAGCCAGUUGAUCAAAGAUAGUCACUGUCUUCUGAUUAUGAACAAGGUGUUGUUGCUUGAUAACUGGAUCACGUCAUUAGGAGAAUCACGUGAUGGACUAGACCCAAACUAAUAGACGUAGCAUGUUGAUCGUGUCAUUUUGUUGCUACUGUUUUCUGCGUGUCAAGUAUUUGUUCCUAUGACCAUGAGAUCAUAUAACUCACUGACACCGGAGGAAUACUUUGUGAGUAUCAAACGUCGCAACGUAACUGGGUGACUAUAAAGAUGCUCUACAGGUAUCUCCGAAGGUGUUCGUUGAGUUAGUAUGGAUCGAGACUAGGAUUUGUCACUCCGUGUGACGGAGAGGUAUCUUGGGGCCCACUCGGUAAUACAACAUCACACACAAGCCUUGCAAGCAAUGUGACUUAAUGUAAGUUGCGGGAUCUUGUAUUACGGAACGAGUAAAGAGACUUGCCGAUAAACGAGAUUGAAAUAGGUAUACGGAUACUGACGAUCGAAUCUCGGGCAAGUAACAUACCGAAGGACAAAGGGAAUGACAUACGGGAUUAUAUGAAUCCUUGGCACUGAGGUUCAAACGAUAAGAUCUUCGUAGAAUAUGUAGGAUCCAAUAUGGGCAUCUAGGUCCCGCUAUUGGAUAUUGACCGAGGAGUCUCUCGGGUCAUGUCUACAUAGUUCUCGAACUCGCAGGGUCUGCACACUUAAGGUUCGACGUUGUUUUAUGCGUAUUUGAGUUAUAUGGUUGGUUACCGAAUGUUGUUCGGAGUCCCGAAUGAGAUCACGGACGUCACGAGGGUUUCCGGAAUGGUCCAGAAACGAAGAUUGAUAUAUAGGAUGACCUCAUUUGAUUACCGGAAGGUUUUCGGAGUUACCGGGAAUGUACCGGGAAUGACGAAUGGGUUCUGGGAGUUCACCGGGUGGCAACCCACCCCGGGGAAGCCCAUAGGCCUUGGGGGUGGCACACCAGCCCUUAGUGGGCUGGUGGGACAGCCCAAGAAGGCCCUAUACGCCAUGGGAAGAAAAUCAAAGAGAAAAGAAAAAAAAGGAGGAGGUNNNNNNNNNNNNNNNNNNNNNNNNNNNNNNNNNNNNNNNNNNNNNNNNNNNNNNNNNNNNNNNNNNNNNNNNNNNNNNNNNNNNNNNNNNNNNNNNNNNNUCAACAGCGGCUAAGCAUAUAUUUGGUGGCUAACUUACGAGUACAAGAAAUAAUAGGGAAGAUCUACGCAUAACGGACGUGAGCUACUGAUGAUCAAAAGAAUGAUCCUGAACACCUACCUACGUCAGACAUAACCCCACCGUGUCCUCGAUCGGAGCAGGGCUCACGAAAGAGACAGUCACGGUUACGCACACAGUUGGCAAGUUUUAAUUAAGUUAACUUCAAGUUAUCUAGAACCGGUGUUAAACAAAGCUUCCACGUUGCCACAUAACCGCGGGCACGGCUUUCCGAAAGAUUUAACCCUGCAGAGGUGCUCCAACUAGUCCAUCACAAAUUACCACAAGCCGCAUAGAAAUCCUCAAUCACGAAGCUCGCGAUCUCGUCGGAUUCCCUAGUGGAAAACCUCAACUGUGAGAUUACCCAAAGCAUCACCGGAAUCCCGAUGCACAAGAUAUCUCGUCAAAGGUAAAACUAAUCCAGCAAGGCCGCCCGACGUGUCGACGAUCCCGAUAUGAGUCGCGUACCUCGUUCUCAGGACACGACGGAUGAGCGAUGGUUACCACGCCAAACGCCGAGUUGCCCCGGGUAGCAUUAAUAAGCUGCUCUGUUUUGGACCAACACUCAUGAGGAGCACUGGCCCGGGGGUUUAUUAAAAUAGUCCGCGGGUGCCGGCGGGUCCCUAUGCAUUAUUAUUAGGUUAUUAGGCAAAUGUAGUACCAAAGUUGGGCCUUGCCAGACCAGCUUUAAUCUAAAACGAAUUAUCAAGGGGGUCCCCAUAACAACCCCGAUCGUGUUAGGAGCGCUCAAUUAUGGAACAUAACACCGGUAGCCGGAAACUAAGGGGGCAAAGGUGGAACAAAACACCAGGCUAGAAAGGCCGAGCCUUCCACCUUUUACCAAGUAUAUAGGUGCAUUAAAUUAAAUAGCAUUUAAAUAUGGUGAUAUAACAAGGAACCCAUGUAAUCACAUGGAAUCAACUGCACCUGCAACUAGCAACGCUAUCAACAGGGUUAAGCUAGCAGUAACAUAGCCAAUAAGUGGUUUGCUAGGUCGAACAGGUUGAAGGUUUCAUGGCAUUGUUGAGAGGCUAAUAUUUAACAUGUGGUAGGCAACGAGACAUAAACGGUAGCAACGGUAAAACUAGCAUGGCAAUGAUAGUAAUGGUAUCUGGGGAAAUGGUCAUCUUGCCUGAGAUCCCGCUUGGAAGAAGAACAUCUCUGUGAAGCAGGCGAACCAACGUAGUCGAACGGGUCCUCACAUUCCGACACGCUUGCGGAACUCUAUCGAGACGGAGCAAACCGGAAACAAAUAUCAACACAGAUAUUCACCACACGAUGCACAACAUGAUGCAUACCCUAAUAUGAUGCAUGAUCAAUUCAAUAUGCAAGGGAUGGCAUGGCAAAUCACCUCACGCAAACACUACACAUCAAUUGAAGCUCGAUAUGCAACGGGUUACAUACCGACGAAACUCCACGAUUAAUUAUUUAGUUCACUCCCGUUUAUUUACACGGCAACAUUAAAUGUUGUUAACAUGGCAAGGGGUGAAGCGAUGAUCCUACGUGUCAUCCUAGUCGGUUUAACUCGCGGAACAAGAGCGGAACUACGGCACGGGAGACAUGCAACACAAGAUCAUAUGCCAUGAAUGCGUCAUGCACGCAAGUUCAAACAUCACGGGCAAGAAGAGAAGGAAACAUGUGUCGCCACGGCAAGCGAGAGGGAACCAUGGCGGCAAGACGGAAACGAAGCCACGACAACGUUCCCAUCCCGAUACUCGUCGAGAUAUCGUGCCAACGAUCUGGAAGCGUGUGCGGGAUCACUAAAUAAGAAUGGGGUGAUCCCGUAUAUCGGGUUCCCAUGUGUCGAGGCACGACGAAAGAAGACAACGGGCAACGGGCCACAUACGGUGCAAACAUACAUUCAACUCAUACAACACAUGCAUACGGUUCUCGACGCGUACCAACGGUAUACNNNNNNNNNNNNNNNNNNNNNNNNNNNNNNNNNNNNNNNNNNNNNNNNNNNNNNNNNNNNNNNNNNNNNNNNNNNNNNNNNNNNNNNNNNNNNNNNNNNNNGUCGUGUGAUUAGAUUUAUUCGUUGCAUCGUCAUGUAGUUUGCAUCAUCGCAUCAUGCAUGGCAUCAUGUCAACUGUGUUUAGUCGGUGUCGCCUGCUGCUCCGUGUUGUUGGGUGAUAGUGCUUCAUGAGUGGCGUUGUUUUGUUGGAGUGAUGAAAGAGGGUGCGUGAGAGCCACCGCUAAGCCCUGUUGCACCGCGGACCUAAAACCUUCUCUCCCCUCUCAUUUCCUUUUUGUGGUUUGGCUAAAUACUUUAGUUUAGUUCCCUAUUUUAAAAAUUAAAGAUUCGUCUUCUUUUAAAGAAAAAACAUUUUAUUAAAUGUGGAGGCAACCCCUUGAGUUUUCUUCAUUUUCUCCUUUUGUUUUAUCUUUAAACAAUCUCAUUUUCUUAUCUCUUUUAAAGAACUUUUAUUUUACACUUUAAAUAAAAUAGGUUUAUUUUAUUCUUUUAAAAAAGGGUUUUGAUUUUUAAUUCUUUAAAAGGUUUCAUUUUACUCUUCGAAAAGGUUUCAUUUUUAUUUGUUUAAAGAGCCCGAUCUAUUUUUAUAGUUGGAGCAUGUUUUAAGGAGCCCAAAAGUAUUUUUGUUUUAGUAAAUUCCUUUUCUUCUGGUUGUGGGUUCCUCUUUUUUUUUUAAAAACCAGCUAUUUUAUUUUUUUGUGCAAGACAUUUUUUUAUUUUAGAAGGAGAGGACCCAGACCAAGGCCCAGCCGGCCAAGGCCCAGGCCCCCUCCAACCCUAGCGUCGUGCUGCGCCUCUCCCUCGUCACCCACAGCGCCGUCUCCUCCCGAUUCUCGUCUCCUCGUUCCCUGCUCCGCCCUGCCGCCUCCAGGUCCCCUUGCCUCGCCGUGGCCACCUCCCUCGCCCUCUCUUCUCCCCUCUACGCGCCGCCAGCCCCAGGCCCGAGCCGCACCGCCCUGCCAGCGCCGAGCCCCCUGCUCGCCGGCCUCCCCUGGUCCUCCUCGCCAUGCGGUCUCCCGCGCGCAGCCGUCCAUCUGCACGUCGAGCCGCCUCUCUGCUCCCCGUCCCCUGCGCCCGCAUCGCCGCCGGUGCCCGACCUGCGCGCCGCCCUCGCCCCCGAGUUCCCCGCGUGCUCGCCCUCGGCCUCGAGCUCGCCGCCCCGGUCGCAGCCUCCCUGCCAUGGCGACCUCGCCGUUCCCCGCGUCGCCCCUCNNNNNNNNNNNNNNNNNNNNNNNNNNNNNNNNNNNNNNNNNNNNNNNNNNNNNNNNNNNNNNNNNNNNNNNNNNNNNNNNNNNNNNNNNNNNNNNNNNNNGACUCACGGGAAGAUAUCACAACACAACUCUAGACACAAAUAAAAUAACAUCAGCUUCAUAUUACAAGCCAGGGGCCUCGAGGGCUAGAAUACGAAAGCUCGAUAAACACACGAGUCAGCGGAAGCAACAAAAUCUGAGUACAGACAUAAAACAUGGGGUGCCUUAGAGAAGGCUAGCACAAAAGAUACAACGAUCGAAUGAGGCGAGGCCUCCUACCUGGGAACCUCCUAACUACUCCUGAUCAUCAGCGGCCUCCACGUAGUAGUAGGCACCGUCGGGGUAGGAGUCGUCGUCGGCGGGAACCUCCAUCUCCUGGGCUCCAUCAUCUGGUCGCAGCAACGGAUCGAGGGGACAAGAGGGGGAGCAAAGCAGAAGUGAGUACUCAUCCAAAGUACUCGCAAGUCUUACAUCAGAACUAUUAUAAUUAUGCAUCAGUAUCAAAGAAGGGGGGGCUAUAUGUGGACUGACUGCAGCAAUGCGAGAAUAAAGAGAGAAGGCCUAGUCCUAUCGAAGACUAGCAUCUUCAGGGUCUUGCAGCAAUAGACGAGAGUAGAACAGGGGUAACACAUUAAAAGUCAUAUUGUUGCAGCAAUAUUAAAGUGAGGUCAUGCCUAAAGAUCCUCCCUCGACUCCCUGCGAGGAAGCAAUCCCGAGGCAAACUAAUUCCAGUUAAGUAACAAUUGUAGUUGUAUAAGAUCGGGGCACAACUCCAAGUCGUCCUNNNNNNNNNNNNNNNNNNNNNNNNNNNNNNNNNNNNNNNNNNNNNNNNNNNNNNNNNNNNNNNNNNNNNNNNNNNNNNNNNNNNNNNNNNNNNNNNNNNNAGUUGCUACUCAUGCUAAGUGGUUUCAACUAUUUACUGUGACAAAAUCAGGUCAUGCAAAGGAAUGGGUUCAACUACCGAUAACAUGUACAGUUGAAUCGUGUUUGUCCUAACGCAGUAAAAGAGAGCAGGAGCGAGAGAGUGGGUUUAUUUCAAUAUGCUCAAGGGGGUUUGCUUGCCUGACACGUCUGAAGAUAGCAAUGAGUCUUCAUCAAUGUCAACGAUCACAUCGUCGGAAACAUCGUUUACCGAGAGGGAACAACACCGGCAAACAAGAAGGAACAACAAUUACUUCACAGAAAUGCAACACUAUGAUGCAUGCUCAAGACAUGAAAUGAAAGGUGGCAGGCCUAAUGUGGCUAUCAUUACUUAAAUUGAAGUUGGUUUGAAUUAGGAUCCAAACAUCACUUCAAGCCGGUUAUUUUUCCGGAUACCCUUUUAAUUGAUUCAACCUGAAGCUCAAAACAAAUUGUUCCAACAUGUAUGGAGUUAGUAUCUUGAGGUACUGAUUUGCAUUGACCCUUGUUUGGUCAUAACAAUUGAAGUGAAAAUCAAAUAAGUAUCAAUUUCCAACUCCAAACUAUUUAUUAAAUUUACCCUAUUCAUCAUUUUGCCUAUUUAGUGUUGUUAACUUUUUCAAACAUGCAUGAAAAUGCCAUAAUCAGAUUCCUUGGAUUUUUCUGAUACUUUUUCAUAUAUAAAUUAUUUUCAUCCGAGUUAUAUUUUAAUUUCUAUGAUUUUUACAAGUUUUAGCAAUUUCCUGGAUUUAUUUUAUAAACAGAAAUACUAAUAUUGCAUCAGUACUGACGUCAGCAGGUCAACUGGCCGGCCAGGUCAAACCCUGACCAGUGGGGCCCACUGGUCAGUGACCCAGAGGCUAACCCCGCGCUGACCAGCCCCUAAUUGGGGUUUGACCAGGCGUGGGGCCCUCUGGCAGUGGCUCUGGGGGGGGGGGUUAGUACUGGCUAACGACUGGCCACGUUGGCCCUCACCGGAGGGUGGUCGUUGGCGACCAAGCCCGCGGCGGAGGGCUCGCCGGAGUUGCCUAGAUGGCACUACAGGGGCCGGAAACAAGCGCUGAGAGCACUUGGGCGUAGCCCAGGCUCGACCACAUCGCACAGGGGGCUCGAAGGGGGGGCUAGGUCGCCGGAGAGGCGCCGGCGACGAGCCUAAGCGGCGACGGGGUUCGGCCGUGGCGGGGAGCGGGGCUACGGGGCAUGGGAGAACGUGGAAAUAGAGGGGAAAUGACGGCGAGCUCACGACGGUUCCAUUUGCGGUGACGGGGAGGUCGGGAUCGCGUCGGAGGGGUUGAAUCGAUGGAAGGGGGCCGGUGGCCGGAGGUGAGGAAGACAAUGGCGAUGGCGACGACAGGGGUCAUCCGGGCUCGAUUCCAAUGGCGAGGAGGAGCAGGGCAUCGGGGCGGUCCUUCUGGGCUUCUCGGAGAGGCGAGGGAAGGCCGGAGACCAGAGAGGCGAGCUCGAGCUCUAGCUCGGCAAUGGAGGCAACGAGGGAAAGCAGAGAGAGAGAAGGGGAACCUAGAGAGAGGAGAGGAGGAUGAGCUCAAGGGGGGGUCUGGGGCAUCCACGGGCGAGGAGAUAAGGACGGGGGCGAGCAGGAGGUGGCUAGGGGACGUGGCGGUGCCCGGCGAUGCGUCGGGCACGCAACUGCUUCUCCUCCUGGCAGGAGGAAGAAUACAGUGGUGCCCCUGAUGGGCUGGGCCGCUUCAGGUGAGCGCAGGUAAGUUUCUCUCUCUCUCUUUUCCUAUUUUUCUUUUAUUUUCUUUCUGGCAUUUAGAUUUAGGAUUUUAAUAAAACAUUUAAUCAUUUUAUAAAACCCUAAAAUAGUAUUAUGUGACAGUAGUAAAAAUAAUCAAUGCCACAAANNNNNNNNNNNNNNNNNNNNNNNNNNNNNNNNNNNNNNNNNNNNNNNNNNNNNNNNNNNNNNNNNNNNNNNNNNNNNNNNNNNNNNNNNNNNNNNNNNNNAUUGAAUUCUUGGUUCUUGGUUAACUUUUCUGUGUGUGGGUUCUUAAGCUUAUGGUCUGUUGGGGAACAUUGCUGAGAAACAAAAAAUUUCCUACGCACACGCAAUACCUAUCCAUGGUGAUGAUCAUCUACCAGAGGGGAGAGUGAAUCUACAUACCCUUGUAGAUCGCUAAGUGGAAGCAUAUAUAACGCGUUUGAUGUAGUGGAACAUCUCCGCGAUUCAAAUCACAGCGUGUCCCGUGAUCUCAUCACGAUCCAUCCCGAUCUAGUGCCGAACGAACGACACCUCCGCGUUCAGCACACAUACAACUCGAUGACAAUCCCCACCUUGUUGAUCCAGCAAGAGGGGUGGAGAGGUAGAUGAGUUAUCCAACACGGAGGAAUGGUGGUGGUGAUGGUGGAUCUAUUCCAGCAGGGCUUCGCCUAAGCGUUGCUGAAAAACCGAUCUAGAGGAAGAACAAAUCUAGAGAGAAGUAGAGGGAGCAUGUGGCAAUUAGGGUUAGCCCUCACCUUUAAAACCUCUAGUAUAUAUAGGAGGGAGGGAGGGGAUGAGGCAGCCUCAAACCCUCAAGGUUUGGCCGAAAUUGGAGGUGCAGAAGUCCUACUCCAAUCCCACCAAGGGUAGGAUUCCCCUUCUCCACUUGGAAACCCUUUCCACCUUUUCCACCUUUGGGUUUCUUUCCUUCCCACCUCCAAUCCGCCUUGGGCUUUAUGGAGGCUUCGUACAGCCCACUAAGGCCUGGUCCAGAUCCUCCCACAGCCCAUGAGACCCUUUGGGGUGGGUGGGCCCACCUGGUGGACCCCAGAAACCCAUUCGUCACUCCCGGUACACUACCGAAAAUGUCUGAAACUUUUCCGGAGUUCAAAAACCACUUUCCUAUAUAUCAAGAUUUACCUCCGGACCAUUUCGGAGCUCGUCGUGAUGUCCAGGAUCUCAUCUGGGACUCCGAAAAACCUUCGGUUACCAACACCUAUAACUCAACUAUACCGAAACGUCACCGAACCUUCAGUGUGCAGACCCUGCGGGUUCGAAAACUAUGCAUACAUGACCUAAGACACUCCCCAGUCAAUAACUGAUGACCCUCAAGUAUAGGGGACCUAUCGUAGUCCUUUCGACAAGUAAGAGUGUCGAACCCAACGAGGAGCAGAAGGAUCCGACAAGUGGUUUUCAACAAGGUAAUAUAUGCAAGCACUGAAAUUGUCGGUAACAAGUAGUUGUGUGGUGAGAUGAUUCGUAGCAAGCAACAAGUAACAAAAGUAGCAAUGGUGCAGCAAAGUGGCCCAAUCCCUUUUGUACAAGGGACAAGCCUGGACAAACUCUUAUAGGAGGAAAAACACUCCCGUGGACACACGGGAAUUUCUGUCAUGCUAGUUUUCAUCAUGUUCAUAUNNNNNNNNNNNNNNNNNNNNNNNNNNNNNNNNNNNNNNNNNNNNNNNNNNNNNNNNNNNNNNNNNNNNNNNNNNNNNNNNNNNNNNNNNNNNNNNNNNNNNNNNNNNNNNNNNNNNNNNNNNNNNNNNNNNNNNNNNNNNNNNNNNNNNNNNNNNNNNNNNNNNNNNNNNNNNNNNNNNNNNNNNNNNNNNNNNNNNNNNNNNNNNNNNNNNNNNNNNNNNNNNNNNNNNNNNNNNNNNNNNNNNNNNNNNNNNNNNNNNNNNNNNNNNNNNNNNNNNNNNNNNNNNNNNNNNNNNNNNNNNNNNNNNNNNNNNNNNNNNNNNNNNNNNNNNNNNNNNNNNNNNNNNNNNNNNNNNNNNNNNNNNNNNNNNNNNNNNNNNNNGAUCUGAACAUAAACUCUUCCACCAAGUAAUCCAACUAGCAUCAACUACAAAGAGUAAUUAACACUACUAGCAACCUUACAAGUACCAAUAGGAGUCGCGAGAUGGAGAUUGGUUACAAGAGAUGAACUAGGGUUUGGAGAUGAGAUGUUGCUGAUGAAGAUGUUGAUGGUGAUGAGUCCCCUCCGAUGAGAGGAGUGUUGGUGAUGACGAUGGCGACGAUUUCCUCCUCCGGGAGGGAAGUUUCCCCGACAGGAUCGUCCUGCCGGAGCUCUAGAUUGGUUCUGCUCAAGUUCCGCCUCGUGGUGGCGGCGAAUCCUCCGAAAAGCCUCUUCGUGAUUUUUUCCAGACCGAAACCCUUCUUGUAGCAAAAGAGGGGGGCAAGUGGGCUAGCAGGGAGCCCACAAGCCCCCUAGGCGCGGCCAGGGGGGUGGCCGCGCCUAGCAGGCUUGUGGCCACUUGCUGGCGCCCCUGUGGCACUUCUUCGGCCCAGUAUUUUUUAUAAAUCCCAAAAAAAACCAUGUUGAUUUUCGGCUUUUGGAGUUGCGCAGAAUAGGCAUAUCAAACUUGCUCAUUUUUAGGCCAGAAUUCCAGCUGCCGGCAUUCUCCCUCUUCAUGUAAACCUUGCAAAAUAAGAGAGAAAAGGAAUAAGUAUUGUACCGUGAAGUGAAAUAACAGCCCAAAAAGCGAUAAAUAUCAACAUGAAAGCGUGAUGCAAAAUGGACGUAUCAACUCCCCCAAGCUUAGACCUCGCUUGUCCUCAAGCAAAAGCCUAGAUCAAUAAACAUGCCCACAUGUUUAGGGAGAGAGGUGUCGACAAAACAAGAUACGAACAUGCGGGCAUCAUGAUCAUGAUCAGAACAGCAAUACCAUCAUAUCAUCUCUUAUGCUAAAGUGACAAUUCAUUCACAAAGUAAAGUAUGGAUCAAGAACCUUACUGAGAAUUAACAACCGAUGGCCUUUAGUCAUUGAAGCAAUUGCAAUUUAUCACAACAUCAGAAAGAGUCAAAUAAGAGCUUGUAAAGCAAUCCACAUACUCAAUCAUCCUUUCGUUCUCUACAAUUGCUACAACUCACGUGGUACUCAUGAGAUCAAAGUUUCAGUUGGACACACAGAAAGAUAGGGGCUUAUAGUUUUGCCUCCCAACUGCUUACCUCAAGGGUAAUGUCAACAAUAAUAAUUCAUGAAUACUUACUUCCAAGUUGACAUAUGAAUAUAGAUCUUUCCCUAGCAUAUGACGUUAGCCAAGAUAAAGGAGAAAUAAGGAAUUGGUGAAGAUCACCAUGACUCUUUCAAGGGCAAAAAGUAAAGGUACAAGAUAGGCCCUUCGCAGAGGGAAGCAGAGGUUGUCAUGCGCUUUUGAGGUUUGGAUGUGUGUCCUCUUAGUGCGGAGGAACGUCACUUUAUAUUGCCUCCUGUGAUAAAGAACUUUAUUAUGCAGUCUGUCGCUUUUAUGUCUUCCUCAUCACAGGUUCGUACAAAGCUUAUUUCCACACACUAAUAGAUCAUACAUAUUUGGGAGCAAUUUUUAUUUCUUGCACCGAUGACAACUUACUUGAAGGAUCUUAUUCAAUCCAUAGGAAGGUAUGGUGGACUCUCAUGGCAAAACUGGGUUGAAGGUUUAUGGAUGCACAAGUAGUAUCUCUACUUGGUGCGGGAGUUUUGGCUAAUAUGAGGUGGAAGCAAUCGUCACAUGCUAAGGGAUCUCUAAUCAUAUAACAUUGUUCAGAACCAAGCAAACACAAUUCAUUAUGUUGUCUUCCUUGGACAACAUCUACUUCUAAGCAUGCAAUAGUUUAGUGAGUGUCCACAAUCAUAGAUGGUGUCAAAGAUGAGAUAUUUAUAUGUGAACCUCUCCUUCUUUAUCACUUCCUUUUAAUUGCAACAAUGACCAAGGUCUACGUUUGUCUACCCUCAACAAGUUUCAAUCAUCAUUCUUUUUAUAUGUGGAGCCAUCACUUCCCAUAAGAUCAUUACAUGAUCUUUCAUGCUUUUGUUCUUUUCUCAUCCUUUUGAUCAUGACAAGAGACAAAGCCCUUAACCAAGACACUCUUUAUUAUAUGGCUCACGAGCUCGAAUACAUCAGGGGUGACACAAAGCAAAACUCAAGCCUAAAACACUAAGACUUUUAUUCUACUAGAGAAAGAGAAAACUUAAAAGGAACAAACUAAAACAAAGGUAAAGGCAAAAGAGGUGAUGGUGAUACGAUUCCGGGGCAACUCCCCCAAGCUUGGCACAAGCCAACGGGAUUGCCCAUACCCAUGCUCAGUUGUCUUUCUUUGGAGGUGAUGGUGGUGGAGUUGUUGCAAUCUUUGAUUCCAAGAGGGCCAUUAAUCUUUAAUUUAUACCUUGGAGAUCUGUGAUAUGUUCCUCCAGCAAAACAACUUCACGAGCGAGAUAAGUAUUGCGAGCAUGAGUUGUUUCACAAGACCUCAAGAGUUCAAUCAAGGAUGGAGACAGUAGGUGGAAGUAGGGUUGGAGGAAAUCCACUUCUUCAACUUCUUCCUUGUUGAGCACAGAUUGCACUUCAUCCCACGCCUGAUUCUUCUCCUUAGUUUUGCCCUUGGUUUCUUUAGCUAGCCUUUACUUAGCCUCCAUGACCUCCAUCCUUUUUAGAUCAACACUUACUUCUCCAUAAACUUGAGGGAGAUUGUUCUCCCCCACAGAUUCCUGAGACAACAUCUUGCUCUAAAUUUGCGACAGAAAACAGGCUCGAAAUGAAAACAGAGGAAAUCUGCAUGAUACAAGGGUCAGACCUUUCGGGAGAUUAUAUAAUGAUUCUUUUCAGACCAGAAAGAGUACUCCGCACGAAAAUGGAGUCCGGGAGGCACACAAGGUGGCCAGAAGCCCCCCCAGGCGCGGCCAGGGGGUGGGCCCGCGCCUGGCAGGCUUGUCGCCUCCUCGCACGCUUUCCGGACUACUUCCAAUUUUUCUAUUUUUUCAAAUAUUCCAAAACGGAGAAAAAAAUCCUACUGGAAAAGUUUUGGAGUCUGUUUUCUUACCGAAUCACAUACCUCUUCGUUUUUGGAGUCUCGAACAGGCUGAUAAAUAUCCCUUAGGUAUUCUUCCGGAGUUCUGGUAUUGAUAAUAUUGCUUUCAACAUUAAUGGGAGUACGUGAGAUAUAAUGCUUGAUUCUCUGUCCAUUUACCACUCUCGGACAAUCACCUUCCAUGUUGUUGAUCUUGAUAGCACCGGAACGAUAUACUUCCUCAACAAUAUAGGGAUCUUACCAUUUAGAGAGAAGCUUGCCUGCAAAAAAGUCUUAAACGAGAAUUAUAUAGCAAGACAUAAUCACCUACAUUGAACUCACACUUUUGUAUCCUCUUAUCAUGCCACCUCUUAACCUUUUCUUUGAACAACUUGGCAUUCUCAUAUGCCUGAGUUCUCCAUUCAUCAAGCGAGCUAAUGUCAAAUAACCUCUUCUCACCAGCAAGUUUGAAAUCAAAGUUGAGCUCUUUGAUUGCCCAAUAAGUUUUAUGCUCUAGCUCAAGAGGUAAAUGACAUGCUUUACCGUACACCAUUUUGUACGGAGACAUGCCCAUGGGAUUCUUAUAGGAAGUUCUAUAAGCCCGCAGUGCAUCAUCGAGCUUCUUAGACCAAUUCUUUCUAGACCUGUUGACAGUAUUUUGCAGAAUCAGUUUAAUCUCUCUAUUGCUUAGCUCUGCUUGACCACUGGACUGAGGGUGAUAGGGAGACGCAAUUCUAUGGUUGACAUCGUACUUAGCAAGCGUUUUACGGAAAGCACCAUGAAUGAAAUGUGAACCACCGUCGGUCAUUAGAUAUCUAGGGACUCCAAAUCAAGGGAAAAUAACUUCUUUAAGCAUCCUGAUAGAGGUGUUGUGAUCAACACUACUAGUGGGGAUAGCUUCUACCCACUUAGUGACGUAGUCAACAGCAACUAGGAUAUGAGUAUACCCGUUGGAUUUUGGAAAAGGUCCCAUAUAAUCAAAGCCCCAAACAUCAAAUGGUUCAAUGACAAGUGAAUAGUUCAUAGGCAUGUCCUGACGUUUACUGGUAUUACCUAUUCUUUGACAUUCGUCACAAGACAAGACAAAUUUACGAGCAUCCUUGAAGAGAGUGGGCCAAUAGAAACCUGAUUGCAAUACCUUGUGUGCAGUUCUAUCUCCCGCAUGGUGUCCUCCGUAGGCCUUGGAGUGACACUUCUGUAGGAUUUGUCCCUGUUUAUGUUCAGGUACACAACGUCUAAUAACACCAUCUACUCCUUCCUUAUAAAGGUGAGGAUCAUCCCAAAAGUAAUGUCUCAAGUCAAAGAAGAAUUUCUUCUUUUGCUGGUAUGUGAAACUAGGUGGUAUAUAUUUGGCAACGAUAUAGUUUGCAUAAUAAGCAUACCACGGUGCACUACGUGAAGCAUUGAUGACACUCAAUUGCUCACCGGGAAAGCUAUCAUCAAUAGGUUGUGGGUCAUCAAGAAUGGUCUCCAACCUAGACAAGUUAUCUGCUACUGGGUUAUCAGCACAAAACAAAACAAAAGAAAAAGAGGAAAUUAGAAAGAGGAAAUAAUAGANUUCAACAUGAAAGUUGAUCAGCACAACGAGACGAACCCGGAUACACGGUCCAUUCGUGUGUCACGCGUCCCUAGCAUAGCAAACAUGGAACAUUUCCAUCGUUUCUAGUAUGACCGGUAGUAGCCCGAGACCCGAAAAAUAUUGUCAGAUAUUCUUCCGACCCGUCUAUGACGGAUGUUGCUGCGUUAGCUCAUGUCUAGCCUACAUCUUGCCAUGUCAUGCUUUGUGUUGCACCAUUGCUAUUAUUUAUUGUUUCUUCCCCCUCUUCUUACCGGUAGACCCCGAGACUGACGCUGCUGCUGGGUACAUCUACGACCCUGCCGAUCAGUCCUUUGCCGCAGAGCAGCAAGGCAAGCAAACCCCCCUUGAUCAUUCCUAUAUUGCCUAUGUCUUUCUUCCUACUGCUUGCAUUAGUAUUUUGCUAUUGUUGUAGUUAGCUCCUAUAUCUGAUGCAUAGCCUAUUUUUGAUGAACUGCUACUUUCAGUCCUGUACUUUAAAUCUGCUUAGUAUAGGUGGAGCAGUCAUCCCCUCUGACCCCGUAGUCCAGUUGCCCCGCUUGUUUUCAAAUCUCGAUCUCUGAUCGACGAGCCAGACCUGACACAACACUUACACCCCCUUCGUUGUACGAUGCUACAAGGAUACUAUCGGGUACCGAGGGUGACACCUCGCUAAGUACUCCUGAUGAUAUCUCUGUAGUAUAGCUAGUCGGUCGUGGUUAUCGAGGGUGAUUCCUCUUUCACCAUUCCCAAUGAUGCCUCUGUCGUGCAACCCCUCAAGUGUGGGACCCCCAAGGGUGAUUCCUCUAAGCCCACCUUGACGGGUACAUCAUUCGGAAUCCAACUAGGGUGAUACCUCGGAUCCCCCCCGAUGUUACAACCACACAGUUACUCGACCAUGUUACUGGGAUCGUUGAUGUUUAGUUGUAAGACGGGUGGAUUCCCGUGAGACUGUGUUGUUGGCCUAAUUAAAAUGUUAAUGGAUUUGGGUAUUUGAUCUGGGUUGGUUGGAGACCUUUUCGCACUAACCUGCUACGUGGGAAGAAUUAUGGGUACUCGGCGUCACGGUAUCAGCCGAAGCUUUUCAGAUGUCAGCAAUCGUAGUGGCGCAUGCCCGAGUGGUCUCGAGAUGCAUUGCGCUUGUGAUUAAGGGAUGCUAGGACUGACGUUGGCCGCCCUCGCAUCGUGCAGGAGCGCGGAGGGGAACUGGGCCCAUGAACCCUUUGCGCUUAGGAUUUAGACCGGCGGGCUGACCUCUCUGAUUAGUCUUAGGUGGGGCUGCGACGUGUCGAUAUUCCGAGGCCGGGCAGGACCCAGAAAAGUAUGUCCGGCCAGAGUGUUAUCGAGCGUGACAGGACAUGUGGUGCACCCCUGCAGGGAUGAAAAUUAACUAUUCGGAUAGUCGUGUCCACGGUUAUAGGACGACUUGGAGUUGUGCCCCGAUCUUAUACAACUACAAUUGUUACUUAACUGGAAUUAGUUUGCCUCGGGAUUGCUUCCUCGCACGGAGUCGAGGGAGGAUCUUUAGGCAUGACCUCACUUUAAUAUUGCUGCAACAAUAUGACUUUUAAUGUGUUACCCCUGUUCUACUCUCGUCUAUUGCUGCAAGACCCUGAAGAUGCUAGUCUUCGAUAGGACUAGGCCUUCUCUCUUUAUUCUCGCAUUGCUGCAGUCAGUCCACAUAUAGCCCCCCCUUCUUUGAUACUGAUGCAUAAUUAUAAUAGUUCUGAUGUAAGACUUGCGAGUACUUUGGAUGAGUACUCACUUCUGCUUUGCUCCCCCUCUUGUCCCCUCGAUCCGUUGCUGCGACCAGAUGAUGGAGCCCAGCAGAUGGAGGUCCCCGCCGCCGACGACUCCUACCCCGACGGUGCGUACUACUACGUGGAGGCCGCUGAUGAUCAGGAGUAGUUAGGAGGUUCCCAGGCAGGAGGCCUCGCCUCGUUCGAUCGUUGUAUCUUUUGUGCUAGCCUUCUCUAAGGCACCCCAUGUUUUAUGUCUGUACUCAGAUUUUGUUGCUUCCGCUGACUCGUGUGUUUAUCGAGCUUUCGUAUUCUAGCCCUCGAGGCCCCUGGCUUGUAAUAUGAAGCUGAUGUUAUUUUAUUUGUGUCUAGAGUUGUGUUGUGAUAUCUUCCCGUGAGUCUUUGGGUUUGAUCGUACACAUUUGCGUAUAUGAUUAGCAUAUGAUUAAAUCGAGGGCGUCACAAGUUGGUAUCAGAGCCGACUGCCUCUAGGUAGCCCCCUUUCCAACUCCUUGGCCGAAGUUUAGUCCAGUGUUUGAAAUACUUUACUAACACUGAUGUUGUGCCUUACGGGCCCACAUCUCAAUUGGGUGGUAUUAGUAUCUUUUACUCCUUCCUAUACUCUGGGUUCUACUCUCUCUUCUCUUUCGGGUCAAAGAUUUUACUAACUCUAACAUUAGGUUCUCGAAUCACAUCGACCCGGAGCGCUGGACUAUCUACUCUUUCUCCUGAAUAUAUAUUACACACACUGUCUUUUGACAUCCGUCAAUCUUAUUUUCAGAUGCGUCCUGCAAGACAGCACGUGCGCCUGACACAGGCCAAUGAGACGACUGGGUUCCCGGCCAUUUUGGUCGACCUCCUGACCAGGCUGGGAUAUCGCUGGUACCCCGAGUACACUGUGUUCGAGGAUUUCCGCGAGUACAACCAGUACCAGUACCAGGAUGAGGUUCGCAUCUUCGACCAGAGGGGAGGCAAGACCCUCGAGCGCCACGUCUUCUGUGGUAUUGGAGUGUCGGUCGAGAUGGCCGUCCAUGAUGUGGCCUACAUCGCCAUCACCUGUCUCCAUGGAGCGUACCCUCACCUGGAGGAGAGCCCUUUCAGAUACAUCCCGCAUGCUCCUGCUUGGGAUGAGACUGGGUCUGAUCUCACUGCCUACGCUUCUGAAGUUCGGGAGCGCAUCGACCGUUCCUACGUCGCUGUCUGCGCCCCCUACGUGACGCGUCGCUACGACGCACGGUUUCUGGUGCAGUACACUCAGGCAAUGGAUCGUGCUUUCCGAGCUCUAACUGUGGAGCUGUAUGCUACGCGCGCUCGUCUUUACGACGCGUUGACAGAGCUGCAACCAUCACACUGCCCGAGGGUUCCCCCCUAUGCGCAUCCGCGAGCCGAGCAGGACAGAGCUACCAUCAGCUCUCGAGUGGACUGAUGUUGGGGGUAGAAACCCUGCACUUGGACCUCAGCUCCUCGACUGGAUGCGGUACCCUCACCAGAGUCACAACGGGACACAGGGUCCUGUUACUACCUUCUAUCACCGCCAGCUACCAGGAUUCGAUCGUCCUCUCCGACGUUGAUGUAGCCUUAUCGCUACAUCUUGUUGUGGUACUCUUCCACCGCGUGCCUGCGCGCCGCCUAGUGAGUCCAGGGUAUCGUCUAAUGCGUCUGGGCUAUCGCAAAAUUUCGAAUUUGUAAUCGUUAGUCUGUACUCGAACUUAUGUGUGGGUCUGUAUGUCGAACUCAACUACUAUGGAGUAACUAUCGCAUUUCCCUUUCAUUAUGCUUGAUUACUUCGUGAAUGUGUGCGAUGCCUUUGCAAUUACUUUAAGCUAAACUACCCCUGUUAAAUAUUUAACAGGAUGGUUAGACCAGCUGGCCGCCCGCGUGCCCCUGCCAACGAUGCACCACCCCCGCCUCCUGAGUAUAUGGCGGGGAUGAUCCAACAGUUUGAGCUGAACCGUCAGUUUAUGCAAGGGCUCAUGGAUCAGUUCCAAAGGCCGAACAUGAACCAACCACAAGGCGUGACACUGCAAGACUUCUGCCGCCUCAACCCUGCGAUCUACCGCAGCUCAACUCAGCCUCUUGAUGCCGAUGACUGGCUCCGUGACAUUUCUUAUGAGCUGGAGUGUGCCAAUGUGCCCCAGGCGAGCUAUGUCAACUUUGCCGCCUACUUUCUGAAGGGUCCCGCUGCUCAAUGGUGGGACAGCCACAGGCGCUCUCAGCCCGAUGGAACUAUCAUCACUUGGGCAGAGUUCAAGGCUCCUUUCCGUGCUCGCUACAUUCCCUAGGGAAUCAUGGACUAGAAGAAGCGUGAGUUCCGCAACUUGGUCCAGGGCAACAAGACUGUGGAUGCUUAUCAGCGGGAAUUUCUCGACUUAUCUCGCUAUGCUGAAGAAGACAUUGCAACUGAUGCACGCAGGCAGGAGAAGUUCCGUGAAGGCCUCCACCCUGAUAUCAAGCUGACACUCCUCGUUCAGGACUAUGCUGAUUUCGCCACCCUGGUGAACAAGGCUAUUCAGGUUGAGACUGGUCUGCAGGAAUACAAAGAUAGCAGCAAGCGCAACCGUGACAUGGGCUCAUCUUCGGGCUCAUGUGCACAGAAGCGAAAGAUCUGGAUUCCCAACAACAUGUACCAUGCACCUGCUCCUGCUCCGAGGCUGUCCUAUGCUGCACCUCGCCUACCUCCUCCACCACCUAGGCAGCCGAGGCUUCCAGCUCCACCGCCUCGAGUUCCUCCUUCCCGUCCUGAGGACGGGCUGUGCUUCAAGUGUGGCCGUCCAGGUCACCGUGCUAGAGACUGCAGGCAGAAUCCGAAUCAGCUGACACUUCCCGCAACUGGCAGUGGCAACAACCAGAACCGCAACUUCAACGCUAAGCCUGCUUAUGUUCGUGGUCAGGCCAACAACAUUGAUAUGGGUCAAGCUCAAGACCAGCCUACUACCGUGAUGGGUACACUUCUCGUUAACUCAGUACCUGCUUCUGUAUUGUUUGAUACAGGAGCAUCACAUUCCUUUAUGUCGGAAAGUUUUGCAUUCAUGCAUGGCAUUAAGUACGAAGAGAUGAACGUCCCAAUAGUUGUAAACACCCCCUCGGGCCAAUGCCGACCCUCCAUGGUCUGCUCCAAUGUCCCAUUGAAAUUGAAGGAUUGGAAUUCUUUGCCUCUCCCAUGUUAUUAAGUUCUUCCAACAUUGAUCUCAUACCGGGGAUGGACUGGUUUAAAGCUCAUACGGCAUCGGUCGUUUGUGCCACCAAGACCGUCCACCUCCUACACCCUUCAGAUGAAUUAAUAAGCUACCAUGCUCAUCUCGUCCGUAAUGCUGAGGCACGGUUGUAUGCUUUGAAUGCAUUAAAUGCGUCGCCUCUUGAAGGGAUUGAAAACAUCCCAGUGGUCCGAGAAUUUCAAGAUGUCUUCCCAGAAGAACUUCCGGGGAUUCCCCCUACUCGAGCUGUCGAGUUUGUCAUUGACUUGGUACCCGGUACCACUCCUAUUGCAAAGCGCCCUUAUAAAAUGCCACCACAUGAACUCCUUGAACUUAAGCAAGAAAUUGACAACUCGCUCCGUCUGGGUUUCAUCCGUCCGAGUUCCUCUGCUUGGGGAGCACCUUCUCUCUUUGUUAAGAAGAAGGAUGGGACAAAUCGAUUGGUUCAAGACUAUCGUCCUAUCAACCAGGCCACUAUUCAAAACAAAUAUCCUCUCCCUCGGAUAAAUGAUUUGUAUGAUCAACUUGCUGGUUCCACCGUCUUCUCUAAGCUCGACUUGAGGUUGGGAUACCACCAGAUCCAUGUUCGCAAGGAGGAUAUUCCAAAGACCGCCUUUGUUACUCGAUAUGGAUCAUACGAGUACACCGUCAUGUCCUUCGGCUUAACCAAUGCACCGGCAACCUUCUCUCGAUUGAUGAAUUAUAUAUUCAUGGACUACCUCGACAAAUUUGUCAUGGUAUAUCUGGAUGAUAUUCUGGUAUUUUCGAAGAACAAAGAAGAGCAUGCUGAACAUCUUCGUCUUGUACUGGAUAAGCUUCGGGAGCAUAAACUCUAUGCGAAGUAUUGCAAAUGUGAGUUCUGGCUAGACGAAGUGACUUACCUUGGUCAUGUGAUUUCCAAGGAUGGUAUUGCGGUCAACCCCGAACGAAUUCAAGCUAUUCUUGUCUAGACUCCCCCGAAGAAUGUUAAGCAAGUCAGAAGUUUUCUCGGACUCGCCAGCUAUUGCCGUCGAUUUGUCGAGAACUUCUCCAAGAUUGCGAAGCCCUUAACCAAUCUGCUUCACAAAGGUGUUAAGUAUGAGUGGACUGAUAAAUGUCAGGAAAGUUUCCAGGCGCUCAAGGACAAACGUACGUCCGCUCGAGUACUUGCUCCUCCAGAUACGAAAAGGGAUUUCGUCAUAUACUGUGAUGCUUCUCGUCAAGGAAUAGGUUGUGUCCUAAUGCAGGAUCGCAAGGUGAUCGCUUAUGCUUCACGUCAACUGCGUGCUCAUGAAGAGAACUACCCAGUUCAUGAUCUCGAGCUUGCCACAGUCAUUCAUGCAUUGAAGGAAUGGUGACAAUACCUUGUCGGUAAUCGCUGUGAAAUCUACACCGACCAUCAAAGUCUGAAGUACUUGUUCACUCAACCGGAGCUGAACCUACGUCAACAAAGAUGGAUGGAGCGUAUAGCAGAUUUUGACUGUAGUAUAUCAUAUACCCCUGGCAAGGCUAACAUAAUGGCUGAUGCCUUGAGUCGCAAGUCAUACUGCAACCACCUCCAGGUUCAUAAGGUUCACGAUCGUCUGCAAGAGGAAUUCCGUAAGCUGAACCUCCACGUUGUUCCUCAGGGUUACCUUGUUCCCCCUCCUGAAGAGUGUCAAAAUAUGAACCUUCGUGUUGUUAAUCAGGGUUCCCUCAGUAACCUAGUGGUUGAACCAGAUCUUGUGAGCUCCAUAAAGAAUCUGCAAGGCUUUGACGAUGAUGUCGACAUGAUUAAGAGCUAUAUUGCGAAGGGUAAACCCUCCUUUUUCACUGUUGAUGAAGAUGGCGCCUUGUAUUUCAAGGGUCGCCUAUUCGUCCCAAAUAAGAAGGAAAAUCUCAGGAUGACCGGGAAGGUGAUGGAAGAAGCUCAUGACACACCAUUGUCUAUUCACCCGGGUAGUACCAAGAUGUACCAAGACAUCCGGCAAAGAUUCUGGUGGCCCAAUAUGAAACAAGACAUUGCAUGCUAUGUGGCAGAAUGUGAUAUAUGUCGGCGUAUCAAAGCAGAACACCAAAAGCCUGCUGGGACUCUGCAACCUAUCUCUAUUUCGGAGUGGAAAUGGGACCAUGUUGAAAUGGACUUUGUCACUGGUUUUCCCAGAUCUCAGAAAGGUAAUGAUGCUAUUCUUGUCGUCAUUGAUCGACUGUCCAAAGUUGCACAUUUCCUGGCCGUCAAAGAAACAAUUAAUGCUAGUCAGCUGGCAGAUCUUUAUAUGUCAAGAGUUGUUUCACUUCACGGUAUUCCGUUGGUAAUCAGUUCGGACCAUGGCAGCUUGUUCACUUCAAAAUUCUGGGAAAGUUUUCAGAAGGCUAUGGGGACUCAUCUGUCCUUCAGCACUGCAUUUCAUCCUCAAUCCCAGGGACAAGUUGAACGAGUCAACCAAAUUCUCGAGGACAUGCUUCGAGCUUGUGUCAUUUAUUUCGGUAAGAAAUGGGAGGAAUAUCUCCCGUAUGCCGAGUUCUCUUACAACAAUAGCUAUCAAGCUAGUCUGAAGAUGGCCCCUUUCGAAGUAUUGUAUGGGCGAAGGUGUCGAACUCCUCUGAAUUGGUCAGAAAUUGGGGAACGAUCACUCUUCGGUCCAGAUAUUAUUCAACAUGCCGAAGAUCAAGUCUGCAUUAUUCAUGAGAAUCUGAAGGCUGCUCAGUCUCGUCAGAAGAGUCAGUAUGACCGUCAUCAUCAAGAUAUGGUCUAUCAACCUGGCGAAAAGGCUUAUCUUCGUGUCACACCAAUGAGAGGUGCACACCGUUUCGGAAUCAAGGGCAAGUUAGCUCCUCGUUAUAUUGGUCCUUUCACUGUUAUCGAAAGGCGUGGAAGAGUGGCUUAUCAAUUGGAACUGCCGGCGAACCUUUCUCAGGUUCACGAUGUCUUCCAUGUUUCUCAGCUCCGUCGCUGCUUCAAGGACCCUAUUCGAGCAGUGGAUCACGAUAUGCUUGAGCUACAACAAGACCUCUCUUAUAAAGAGCAUCCGGUCCGCAUUCUUGACCAAGCUGAACGUAAGACUCGUCGCAAGGUCACCAAGUUCCUUAAGGUGCAGUGGUCAAAUCACUCUGAAGAUGAAGCCACUUGGGAACGCGAGGAUCAUCUUAGUGAUGAAUACCCCAGGCUCUUUCCCUCUACCUCUUAAUUCUCGGGACGAGAAUUCUUGUUAGUAGGGGAGAAUUGUGACAUCCUCGACUUUUGCUACAGUAAAUAUUGUAAUUAAGCUACAGUGAUCACCCGCUAAUGAUGCCACAUCAUCGAGAAUUACCGUCGUUGACCCGCAUUGAAUUUCUAUCCGGAUUCAGAAAUUGAAAACAAAAGAAAAGUAUAUUUAUAAAUUCAUAUUAACUAUUAAAGGAAGACAUGUAUAGAAAGAAAGUAUUAAAAAUAAUAAUAAUAAAAGAAAGAAAAGAAAAGAAAUUAAAAAAAGGAAAUUAGAAAGAGGAAAUAAUAGAAAAAGAAAAAAAACAAAAAAAAAG